AACAUUUUUAUUCCCAUUUAAGCAACUUCCCAGGGACACACAUCCUCCAGGGGGCAGUGCUUGGACUCCAGCAGCCAUUUUGAAUUUUCCAGAGCCAGGUGUCCUCACAGAAUGGCAAGGUCUCAUGGAAAACUCCCCAAAGUAUUCCUUUGGUAGCCCCAUCCUGAGGAGGACCACCUCCCUGCAUCACACUGUUUGUUGAUGACAUCUUUGGCGGUCCACAGAACUAGGCCCCAAGCAGAGCACCAUGGCUGGACACUUCAGCAGGAAAAGCAGUCUGGAAGGCUAGCAGCCACGUGGCGUUGAUCUAAGCCAGCAGUUCCCUGAAGACCUCAUGCACAUGGCAGCCACCAGCCAGUGGGAAAAGCAGACAGGAUGCAAAGCUUUGGUUGAGGAUUCUGGGCACCCUCAACUUUCCUGAAAAUUAUGGGCAAUCCAACCCUUCCCCACAACCCUAGCAGGAGAUGCAGCCCUCUGUGCCCCUGGCUUCCCCUCCGCAGAGGCCUACUCUCAGCCUGGCACUGAGGGAUGCCCAUGAGAUGGGCGGGAGCAGACAGGGGGCUCCUCCCCAGGCCUUCCCCAGCACCACCCCCUCUGGGCCAUCAGCUUGGUAGCUCUUAAAACAGAUCCUCAGUGGCUCUCCAGCCUGUGACAUCUGUCCUGAAGCCCAGCCCUACCUCACUGCCUUCUGUCCUCGGGAAUCACACUCUUUCUGAGUAGGGUUUGGGUUCCAAGAGGCUAUUCUGCUCCUCUUACCAUCUGGUCCCUUCCUUCCAGGGCCCAAGGGUGGAAGGCAUGCUGCGGGCUCCAGCCCUGCUCCUGGUGUUCCUGGCUCCUGCCACGCAGAUGUCUUCCAACGAGGAAGGAAUAGAGUUGACAGUCACCAGGCAUACUGGAUCAUCUGUCGUAAUCACUUGUGAUAAACAAAGCACCUCCUACACCCACUGGUACCGAUUCCAGGAGGGGAUGGCCCCACACCGCAUUCUAUACUAUGAUUUCUACAAUUCAAAAGUUGUGCUGGACUCAGGAUUCAGUUCAACGAAGUACCAUGCUUACGAACAUGAAGGGAAGAAAUGUAAGCUUGUUAUCAGAAAUCUGCAAGAAAGUGACUCGGGAGUGUAUUACUGUGCUGUCUGGGAGAGCCACACAGAUGCAGGCCGCCCCCACACUGCACUAAAAUCCUGCCUGUGGCUGCCAAGAGCAGCCAUGUGCACAGCACAGACCCACAGCUGCCUCACUUCCUGCCCUGGCUGCCCUGUGCUCUGAACAGAGAGGAUUCCUGAGCUCAGUGC
This is a non-coding RNA of Manis pentadactyla (Chinese pangolin), 1292 nucleotides long. Lineage: Eukaryota; Metazoa; Chordata; Mammalia; Pholidota; Manidae. The record is from the annotation of a RefSeq genome assembly.